GUCCCGGCCCUAAACGGUGCGUGUUUGCUGUAAGAGGAAUCGACCCCUCUUGUGGCGAAGCUAACGCGUUAAACACGCCGCCUGGGGAGUACGGUCGCAAGAUUAAAACUCAAAGAAAUUGACGGGGGCCUGCACAAGCGGUGGAGUAUGUGGCUUAAUUCGAUGCAACGCGAAGAACCUUACCUGGCCUUGACAUGCAUGUGGUAGAACCAUGAAAGUGGGACGACCCCGCAAGGGGAGUAUGCACAGGUGCUGCAUGGCUGUCGU
This 267-nucleotide ribosomal RNA is filed under the name uncultured bacterium. Its description in RNAcentral is "partial 16S ribosomal RNA". It matches the Rfam family "Bacterial small subunit ribosomal RNA", at positions 793 to 1055 of the family's 1533-position model. The record is from RNAcentral.